GGGGCUUGGUUUAGAUGUAAAACAGUGAGGUUUUGGAGGCUGCUGUUUUUUAAGUGCAGAUUGUGCCGUGUGUGGAAUCUUCCAGUCAUAAACCAGAUUAUUUUAUGUUUAUAUGCUUGGAGUUUUUCUUUUUUUUUUUUUCCUUUGGAAGCUGUUUUGUUGAAAUAACUGCUGGCAAAUUUUCAGGCUGGCUUCCAUGUUGCUUUACCAGUUCCUGAACUCUCAAGCUUUGUAUUUUACAUAUUGCAGCAUUUCUAAGCUGGGAGGUUUGUUGUCAUGUGUGUCUUAGCGUGCACACAAUAGCUGAAGGUCUAAUUUUAAGUUAAUUUUGCCAAACGAAACAGAGUUAUAUUUAGUUUAAGCCGUGUGCCUUGCACCUCUCUGGGUUGUUAGAACGUUUUUUGGGGGGAAGGGUGGGAGCAGAAAUGAGAGAAACCGCAGAGGGCCUGAUCCUAACAGCCAGGCUUUGAUAUGUUGCAGAUGGACCAAAAGCUGCCUGCUUUUUGGAAGGCUGUUGGGCACUGGCCCCAUCGGUGAGCGCUGUAAAAACUCUUCCUUGUACAGGUUAACUCCCUGUUACACAGCUUCUCCUUUAAAAAGAAAUACUGCUUAUAUUGCAAUACAACACGAUCAUCGGGAUAGCCAGAACAGCUGCCGUUUUCAGGGAACUGGCCUGCUGUUGCGCUGCUUUGUGUUUGCGCUGAAGAACGGCCGUGCCUGAAGGUGCUCAGCUCUGGGCUGUGGCAGGUUGUUGCUGCUCCAAGUGCAAUGCCCUCCUGCUGGACUCGGUGCCAUCGGGCACAGCCCUGCCCCAGAAGAACACGGGACUGCCCCUUGCAGCGCAAUUGCUGAGAGAAUAAAAUCUCAGCUG
Long non-coding RNA from Cygnus atratus (black swan), 871 nucleotides. RefSeq lists it as uncharacterized. NCBI's taxonomy places the organism in Eukaryota, Metazoa, Chordata, Aves, Anseriformes, Anatidae. The transcript has 3 exons. The record is from RefSeq and is a predicted model, not a curated record.